RNAcentral lists this ribosomal RNA (253 nucleotides) under uncultured bacterium. Its description in RNAcentral is "partial 16S ribosomal RNA". It matches the Rfam family "Bacterial small subunit ribosomal RNA", at positions 524 to 776 of the family's 1533-position model. The record is from RNAcentral.
AACGUAGGAGACAAACGUUAUCCGGAGUUACUGGGCGUAAAGGGCGUGUAGGUGGUUUCGUAAGUCUGGCGUGAAAUUUUUCGGCUUAACCGGGAAAGGUCGUCGGAUACUGCGGAGCUAGAGGACGGUAGAGGCGUGUGGAAUUCCGGGUGUAGUGGUGAAAUGCGUAGAGAUCCGGAGGAACACCAGUGGCGAAGGCGGCACUCUGGGACGGUACUGACGCUGAGACGCGAAAGCGUGGGGAGCGAACAGG